This 252-nucleotide ribosomal RNA is filed under the name uncultured bacterium. RNAcentral's name for it is "partial 16S ribosomal RNA". It matches the Rfam family "Bacterial small subunit ribosomal RNA", at positions 524 to 776 of the family's 1533-position model. The record is from RNAcentral.
UACAGAGGGUGCAAGCGUUGUUCGGAAUUAUUGGGCGUAAGCGCGUGUAGGCGGCUUUGCAAGUCGGGUGUGAAAGCCCUCAGCUCAACUGAGGAAGUGCGCCCGAAACUGCAGAGCUUGAGUGCCGGAGAGGGUGGCGGAAUUCCCCAAGUAGAGGUGAAAUUCGUAGAUAUGGGGAGGAACACCGGUGGCGAAGGCGGCCACCUGGACGGUAACUGACGCUGAGACGCGAAAGCGUGGGGAGCAAACAGG